Molecule: ribosomal RNA, 253 nt
Filed under: uncultured bacterium
Lineage: Bacteria
Description: partial 16S ribosomal RNA
Rfam family: Bacterial small subunit ribosomal RNA
Source: RNAcentral
UACGUAGGGGGCGAGCGUUAUCCAGAUUUACUGGGCGUAAAGCGUGCGCAGGCGGUGAUGUAAGUCAGUUGUGAAAUCCCCGGGCUCAACCUGGGAACUGCAUCUGUGACUGCAUUGCUGGAGUGCGGCAGAGGGGGAUGGAAUUCCGCGUGUAGCAGUGAAAUGCGUAGAUAUGCGGAGGAACACCGAUGGCGAAGGCAAUCCCCUGGGCCUGCACUGACGCUCAUGCACGAAAGCGUGGGGAGCAAACAGG